This 236-nucleotide ribosomal RNA is filed under the name uncultured Actinomycetales bacterium. RNAcentral's name for it is "partial 16S ribosomal RNA". It matches the Rfam family "Bacterial small subunit ribosomal RNA", at positions 97 to 334 of the family's 1533-position model. The record is from RNAcentral. Lineage: Bacteria; Bacillati; Actinomycetota; Actinomycetes; Actinomycetales.
GGCGAACGGGUGAGUAACACGUGGGUGAUCUGCCCCUUACUUUGGGAUAAGCCUGGGAAACUGGGUCUAAUACUGGAUAGGACCAUGCUGUAGGUGGUGUGGUGGAAAGAUUAGUUUCGGUAAGGGAUGAGCUCGCGGCCUAUCAGCUUGUUGGUGGUGUAAUGGCCUACCAAGGCGUCGACGGGUAGCCGGCCUGAGAGGGUGGACGGCCACAUUGGGACUGAGAUACGGCCCAG